UAGUUGUUCUUUGGAAUAUAAGUAGUAGCAGAAUGAAGAAAUACGACGCCUUGAAGAGUUCCCUUUUACUCAACAACGCCACAAACCCUUUCCCAUUGGUUGCUUCCUUUGCCUUUUUCGAAAACUAAAUUUUCCGUUCUAGGUAUUCAGCAUUACUUGAUUUCUAUCUGAUAUAUAGAUUGAAUGCGUGUUUUUGGGUUCGGGGUAUACAAUAUUACAUGAUUUUUGUGUUUAUGUCAAUCUUCUUCUCUUCUGAUUCACAAAUAAGGGCAAGAAGAUUGUCAUAAACUCCAAACUUUUAUUUCAUAAAAAUGUUUCCGGUGGAGGAAAAUAAAUCCAGUGAAAAAUCUAUUGAAAAUAAAAGAAAUCUUUCUAAUUUUUAGAAGUGGCAUGAGGCUUACAAAAGAAAAACUCCUGAUAAUGCAUGGAAGCUUCCACGGUCUGCGACGGUUCUCAUUCAAGAGGAUCAUGCUCAUGACCCUUGGAUGGUUCUAGUCAUUUGUAUGCUUCUCAACCGGACUUCUGAUACACAGAUCUCAUGUAAAAUCUAUCAAACAUGAAUAGGAAAUAACUUGGGAUCAUGGAAUAAAAUUUUUAAUUUUUCUGUUUUUUCUGUCUUUUCUUUUGGUAUUAGUUAGAAGACUUUUUAUUUGACAGCUAACUAUGCACGUCACUGCAACUAAACUAAUGAAAUUCAGUUUCUUUUUGGAUGAAGAUAUUUUUCAUGUUAAUAUGUAGACAUGUCAUUCUAAUCCUAAGCUCCAGAGCUAGCCUUGGCCUCUUCUAAAGCUAGACCCUAAUUUUUUAAUCCACACGUUAGGGGCUUUUCCAAAGCCCCUGACCCUGGAGCCCCAUGAAGUGGGUUAAGAUAGGAGUAGGGCUGGGUUAUCUCCACUGGCUCCAGAUGAAAAAAUCCCAUGCCUGAUUUUGACUCAACUACUUGUUCUUCUUCUCCUCUUUGCACUUCUCUUUUUCUUUGUCGUCUUCCCUUUGAAUCCCACCGACAACCUCAUCACCGCCGGCACGACUCCUCCGUCGAUCUCUUCCGAUUUCUUCCUCUUCGAUGCUAUUCAGCAGAUUGAGUUACCACAGUCUAUUCACGAUUCAUCGUCCUCUCAUUCAACAACCACUCCUCAACACCUGUUUGCUGCAGAGACAUGAGUGGCAACAAUCUUGGCGGCAGCAUACCAUACCAGCGAUUGUAUGUUUCAAUUGACAUGGGGUUGUUCUCUUCCGUGUAUUUUAUUUAUGAUAUGAUUUAUAACGUUCUUAGUUCUGUGUGCAGAAAUCUUGCUUAUAAUAAUAUCACAGGGAAUGUUCCUUACUCUAUUUCAAACUUGAACGCUCUUACAGACCUGUGUGUAAUUUUUUUGUUGUAAAUUUAUCAUAGUUGUACUGCAUUGACCACCACUACAAACACCUGGAAUAAUAUGUACAAAAUUAUGCUUCUUAAUCGUAAUAAAUCUUUAUCUAUAAUAA
Molecule: long non-coding RNA, 1479 nt
Organism: Vigna radiata var. radiata (mung bean)
Lineage: Eukaryota; Viridiplantae; Streptophyta; Magnoliopsida; Fabales; Fabaceae
Exons: 3
Source: RefSeq, a predicted model, not a curated record